AGCGGGASSCCMMCACAUGCARGCGAGCGGUAUUGUUUCUYUCGGAAAUGAGAGAGCGCGCGUACGACGUGCGGAACACGUSUGCAACCUGCCCUUUAUCUGGKGGGAUAGCCUYUCUGAAMAGGAAGAUUAAUACUCCAUAAUAUAUUGAYCGGCAUCARUUAAUAYUGGVVVGCUCCCGGCGGAUAGAGAUGGGCACGCGCAAGAUUAGCUAGUUGGUCGAGGUAACGGCUCACCAAGGCRAUGAUCUUUAGGGGGCCUNRAGAGGGUGCAUCCCCCACACUGGUACUGAGCACACGGACCAGACUCCUACGGGAGGCAGCASUGAGGACAUAUUGGYCAAUGGGUGCAAGCCUGAACCAGCCAUCCCGCGUGAAGGACGACUGCCCUAUGGGUUGUAAACUUCUUUKUGUAUAGGGAUAAACCUACCCUCGUGAGGGUAGCUGAAGGUACUAUACGRAUAAGCACCGGCUAACUCCGUGCCAGCAGCCGCGGUAAUACGGGGGGGUGCAAGCGUUAUCCGGAUUUMUUGGGUUUAAAGGGUCCSUAGGCGGACUUAUAAGUCAGUGGUGAAAGCCUBUCGCUUAACGAUAGAACYCC
This 600-nucleotide ribosomal RNA is filed under the name bacterium S5-38. Its description in RNAcentral is "partial 16S ribosomal RNA". It matches the Rfam family "Bacterial small subunit ribosomal RNA", at positions 38 to 624 of the family's 1533-position model. The record is from RNAcentral.